Molecule: transfer RNA, 68 nt
Filed under: Marmota monax (woodchuck)
Lineage: Eukaryota; Metazoa; Chordata; Mammalia; Rodentia; Sciuridae
Description: tRNA.Ala
Rfam family: tRNA (bases 5-65)
About the family: Transfer RNA (tRNA) molecules are approximately 80 nucleotides in length. Their secondary structure includes four short double-helical elements and three loops (D, anti-codon, and T loops).
Source: RNAcentral
GGAUUGUAGCUUAGUGGUAGAGUGCUUGCCUGGCAUGCAUGGGGCACUGGGUUCGAUUCUCAGCACCA